CCUACGGGCGGUAGCAGUGGGGAAUAUUGCACAAUGGGGGAAACCCUGAUGCAGCGACGCCGCGUGAGUGAAGAAGUAAUUCGUUAUGUAAAGCUCUAUCAGCAGGGAAGAAAAUGACGGUACCUGAGUAAGAAGCCCCGGCUAACUACGUGCCAGAAGCCGCGGUAAUACGUAGGGGGCAAGCGUUAUCCGGAUUUACUGGGUGGAAAGGGAGCGUAGACGGCAGUGCAAGUCUGGAGUGAAAGGCGGGGGCUCAACCCCCGGACUGCUCUGGAAACUGUACGGCUGGAGUGCAGGAGAGGUAAGUGGAAUUCCUAGUGUAGCGGUGAAAUGCGUAGAUAUUAGGAGGAACACCAGUGGCGAAGGCGGCUUACUGGACUGUAACUGACGUUGAGGCUCGAAAGCGUGGGGAGCAAACAGGAUUAGAUACCCCAGUAGUC
This 440-nucleotide ribosomal RNA is filed under the name uncultured bacterium. Its description in RNAcentral is "partial 16S ribosomal RNA". It matches the Rfam family "Bacterial small subunit ribosomal RNA", at positions 338 to 795 of the family's 1533-position model. The record is from RNAcentral.